Molecule: long non-coding RNA, 265 nt
Filed under: Elaeis guineensis (African oil palm)
Lineage: Eukaryota; Viridiplantae; Streptophyta; Magnoliopsida; Arecales; Arecaceae
Description: long non-coding RNA (EGUI_LNC070136)
Source: RNAcentral
AGGUCAAAGGAUCACUUACACAACUCCCACUAGAGAACUAUCAGCUGACAUGUAAAUAAGACUCCAUCAGAUGUUCUCUCAUAGAUCUAUUCAGUGAACUUAUUCUCUAAUGAGCAUCCAUAUUCUUGUAUUAGUGUCACCACACAAAUGGCUGUGAGAUCAACCAUCCUCAUCUCGGAGUAUACAUAGGACAUGCCAGUCUUACCGGUAUUAUUGAUCUCUGACUUAAUGAGCCAAUGACUGAGAAUAUUUUAGAUCAUAGCUA